RNAcentral lists this ribosomal RNA (357 nucleotides) under Triticum aestivum (bread wheat). RNAcentral's name for it is "partial small subunit ribosomal RNA". Lineage: Eukaryota; Viridiplantae; Streptophyta; Magnoliopsida; Poales; Poaceae. The record is from RNAcentral.
AUGUCCAUAAGAUUUUGCAACCACAAAAUAUCAAAUUCUAGAACUCAAAAUGCUGAAAAGGAUAUUUCUAUCAGCAUGUCUAUAAAUGGCCAGACAGAAGGAUUCUUACCGAUAUACAUGUCUGCGAAAAUAGAUUUGCAUGAAGUCAGAAAACAGUCCCACCAGCAUCUGAAAAAACAUCUGGGAAUAAGCCUUAUCAGAUAUGCUCAACAAGAUGCUUGUCACUCACAAAUCCAAAAGCACAGAGAUAACAUCUUGGCUUGUCCUGCCGAACAUCAAUUGAAUUUGAGGGAUCAAGUGGGCCUGCUCGAUAGCAAUCAGGUUUGCCACUUGAAUCAAUUUGUUAGUACCAUCUGA